CCUACGGGUGGCAGCAGUGGGGAAUAUUGGGCAAUGGAGGCAACUCUGACCCAGCAACGCCGCGUGAAUGAUGAAGGUCUUCGGAUUGUAAAGUUCUGUGAUGGGGGAUGAACACAAUGACGGUACCCCAAUAGCAAGCCACGGCUAACUACGUGCCAGCAGCCGCGGUAAUACGUAGGUGGCAAGCGUUAUCCGGAAUGACUGGGCGUAAAGGGUGCGUAGGUGGUUUAGUAAGUUGGCGAUGAAAUCCCGUGGCUCAACCACGGAACUGCAUUUGAAACUGUCGGUCUUGAGUAUCGGAGAGGCAGGCGGAAUUCCUAGUGUAGCGGUGAAAUGCGUAGAUAUUAGGAGGAACACCAGUGGCGAAGGCGGCCUGCUGGACGACAACUGACGGUGAGGCGCGAAAGCGUGGGGAGCAAACAGGAUUAGAUACCCGGGUAGUC
This 443-nucleotide ribosomal RNA is filed under the name uncultured bacterium. Its description in RNAcentral is "partial 16S ribosomal RNA". It matches the Rfam family "Bacterial small subunit ribosomal RNA", at positions 338 to 795 of the family's 1533-position model. The record is from RNAcentral.